This is a non-coding RNA of Podarcis lilfordi (Lilford's wall lizard), 153 nucleotides long. Lineage: Eukaryota; Metazoa; Chordata; Lepidosauria; Squamata; Lacertidae. The record is from the annotation of a GenBank genome assembly.
UGAACAAAGAUGCAAUGAACAAAAGGUGUUGUUUCAUGCUGUUGGCUCAGAAUGUCUUUAUAUGUGAGCCUGCUUUCAAAUCUCGACACUCUUCUUGGGGUGUGUGUGUGUGUGUGUGUGUGUGUGUGUGUGUAGACUGAUAGAUAGAUACAG